GCUAGUAAUGGCAGGUCAGCAUACUGCCGUGAAUACGUUCCCGGGCCUUGUACACACCGCCCGUCACACCAUGAGAGUUGGGAAUACCCGAAGCCUGUGAGCCAACAAACGAGGCAGCAGUCGAAGGUAGAAUCAAUGAUUGGGGUGAAGUCGUAACAAGGUAGC
This 165-nucleotide ribosomal RNA is filed under the name uncultured bacterium. RNAcentral's name for it is "partial 16S ribosomal RNA". It matches the Rfam family "Bacterial small subunit ribosomal RNA", at positions 1334 to 1500 of the family's 1533-position model. The record is from RNAcentral.